Molecule: non-coding RNA, 985 nt
Organism: Physcomitrium patens
Lineage: Eukaryota; Viridiplantae; Streptophyta; Bryopsida; Funariales; Funariaceae
Source: RefSeq, a predicted model, not a curated record
UCUUCCACCUCACGGUCUUCACCUCCCCAACUCCUGUGGUUGCUGCAAACAUUCAUCAUCUUUCCUGUAAAUUCUAUGUUCGUCGAAUCUCCCAUGUAUCAAGCGAGUGGUCUUUGCUGUUUUACUCAAUUGCACGCAAUCAGACAAGAAGUAGAAGUAUUUUCGUAUUGAAGUUUAGAUUCUGUAGCCUGAAUAUAAUUUCCAGGUUGGAUUAGGUCAAGGGUGAACUGUCAGAGGAGUUGAUGGUAUGCGAAAAGGGAGGAGAGAAGGAAACUUGCGAUUGAGGACUCGCUGUGGUUUUUUUUUCUAGCAGGUUGCUGUGACCUUUGGGACACCUCUUACAGUCAUAGGAGACAGAAUCUCGGAGAUUUACUGUUGCAGAGGGAAAGUGUGAGAGGGUCAUAAGUGGGGCGAUGGCGAUGACGAUGGCGGUGGUGGGGCGGAGAUUACAGAAGCUAGUGAGAAGCAUGUCGAUACAAAGUGUUGCAAACACCGCAUGCUCAGCCCCGUCCUCUGUGAUGUGAUCAUAGCUGAGAAGCGCACGUUAGAGCACUAGGUUUCAUCAAGCUAUCUCGAGAGCAUGUCGACGAGGUAUUCAUGGGAAAUGUUUUUAGUUAAGGUGUAGGUCAACCUUCGGCUCGCUAAGCCGCUUUGCGGUUAUGUUUGGAGCACAAAGCAUAAUGUUAGGAUUCAAUCAGGUGGUUGUUGCUGGUGGCAUGGAAAAUAUGUCCAAUGCACCCUUCAUUCUGCAACGGAAUCUCUCUGUUCAGAAGAUGGGUCAUGUCCAGCUAAAAGAUGUAAUGGUUCAUGCUGGCCUUCGGGAUCCAUGUAAAGGCCGAUGUGUUGGCAGCUGCGGUGAACUUUUCUUAGACAAGUUCUGUAUUUCUCACGAGGCAUAGGUAUUUUAUAACCAUUAAUUCUUUACCUGUUUCAUAUAUUCUUGGACCUACGUCGAAUGAAUGGGAGCUUUAAAGUAUUCGCCUCA